This 468-nucleotide ribosomal RNA is filed under the name uncultured bacterium. RNAcentral's name for it is "partial 16S ribosomal RNA". It matches the Rfam family "Bacterial small subunit ribosomal RNA", at positions 28 to 507 of the family's 1533-position model. The record is from RNAcentral.
GACGAACGCUGGCGGCGUGCUUAACACAUGCAAGUCGAACGGAAAGGCCCUGCUUUUGUGGGGUGCUCGAGUGGCGAACGGGUGAGUAACACGUGAGUAACCUGCCCUUGACUUUGGGAUAACUUCAGGAAACUGGGGCUAAUACCGGAUAGGAGCUCCUGCUGCAGGGGGGGGGUUGUAAAGUUUCGGCGGUUGGGGAUGGACUCGCGGCUUAUCAGCUGGUUGGUGGGGUAGUGGCUUACCAGGGCUUUGACGGGUAGCCGGCCUGAGAGGGUGACCGGCCACAUUGGGACUGAGAUACGGCCCAGACUCCUACGGGAGGCAGCAGUGGGGAAUAUUGCACAAUGGGCGGAAGCCUGAUGCAGCAACGCCGCGUGCGGGAUGACGGCCUUCGGGUUGUAAACCGCUUUCGCCUGUGACGAAGCGUGAGUGACGGUAAUGGGUAAAGAAGCACCGGCUAACUACGUG